GCUGCGAGUACAGUCAGCUAUUGCUUAAUAAGAAUUGGCGUGGCUCUGGGCUGGUCGCUAUGCAUGACGCAGGAAAUCAGGCGUGAGUGACGUCCCUGCGAUUCUGCCAUUACGUCAUGGAUGAUUUUACGCUCUAGUUCUAGGAAUGCUCGAACAAUUCCCUACAGUACCAAGUAGCCUGUACCAAAUGGUGUAACCGCGGCCAUCGUUCCAUUGUGGUGUUUCAUGCGCAGGUUCCCGGCUAGAAUGACUCGGUCAUUCACCACAAGAGGGCCACAGAUAGUGUUGCCAAGAUGGUUGUGAACGAAGCCGACCAAUGGCUGUGACACAUCUCAUGGCUUGCUCACAAAGAGGACAGCAUCAUUAUUGCAGUGGUCAGGCUGCACCAAAAACUUCACGAACGAUGCUACCCCAGCCGAGAAUUGAAUCUGCCACCUCAAGCCGGGCAGCACAAUGCCAUAGCCAGGAAGCCAAUGCAGUGAAUUGCCAAUUCAGUUACUGCCCGACAACAAUAAUCCCGAUUAUUGUGGACUCCAACUAGCAUACGGUUUCAAUUCUAACGUUCACGUGAGAUUACGUAAUGUAGAGGUUCAAAACGCGGCAUUCUACCAAUGUAAAAAUAAAUUGCGAGAAGAAGUAUGCCAAUAAUAUAUUUAAACUGUCCAGCUUCACACCUUAGCUAAUCAUCAGCAUAUUGAAAGUGACAAUAAAAAUGUUAGAGCUACGCGUAAAAAUUAAGAGGCAUUCAAAAAACGGCAAGAUUUGUCACCAGCUGUGCUCACUAACCACAAUCUUUCCACGAUAAAGGUACCACCUGUAACCGUAAUACCCAUCGUACUGGGUGAAGUUCUUAAGUUAUGCUCGAGCCUGAUGGCCUGCACAACAGCUCAGGCAGUACACCUGCAGCAACCACAUAUGUUAUCAUCAUGUUGACUGUUGUUUUCGUCUUAAAACAUGCAUUCUAUUUUUACAAAUUUUUCAACACAAUUGGUCAAGCCAUCACUGUAGAAGCUUCUCUGCUGUUAAGCAGAGAAAUCAUCUAUGCCAUUUUAGAUAUGUCAUGUGCCUUUUCUAGUAGGCAUACAAACUUAAGUAUCUGCUUCAAACAGUAGUUCUGAUGACAUGCAGGUCGAACAUUAGCUGCUUGUAGCUUAGCGAAACAGCACUUGUGCAGAUUGGCAUGAGUGAAAACA
Dermacentor andersoni is the source of this 1193-nucleotide long non-coding RNA. RefSeq lists it as uncharacterized. The record is from RefSeq and is a predicted model, not a curated record. NCBI's taxonomy places the organism in Eukaryota, Metazoa, Arthropoda, Arachnida, Ixodida, Ixodidae.